Molecule: long non-coding RNA, 2242 nt
Organism: Mesocricetus auratus (golden hamster)
Lineage: Eukaryota; Metazoa; Chordata; Mammalia; Rodentia; Cricetidae
Exons: 6
Source: RefSeq, a predicted model, not a curated record
GGUUAUUGAUUCCCAUCCUAUACCACAAGGGACAUAAAGGAACACAAGUCAUUUCCUGGAUUCUCACAUACCUCUGUUGACUAGUUUGUUUCCAUGGGGAACUGUGCAGCACUGCAUAAUCAAAGGCUUUGUGUCAUUUGAGGCAGGAGAUCCUCUCAGAGAUGUGAAGAAAUAUAAGAGACCAUUUUAGUUCAGAGAUGCACAAAGCAUACAGGCCUGGUAUGGAUGGCUCCUAGGGAGGCUUGAAGGAACAGGGUAUGUAGACUUAUCGUAACCCCUUAUAGAUGAGGAUGAGCCUCAGAGUUAUUCUGAAUAACGAGUCCUUGGAGGAAUCAUCGCUGGGACACAAGUAAGAGUCAGCAUCAGAAUCAGAGAGAAAACUUGCUACCACUGUGUCUGGCCAUCUACACAUGUGGUUACCUUCCAAAGUCCCAAUAUAAAAGGUUUUCACACUGUAAGUUAUAAAACUAACAUGACAAAACUGGAAUUUAAAACCUGAGCCAUAACUGCAAAGGCUUUUUGUUACAGGAUUCCAGUGACCAGACUCACAAUGAACGCUCUCUACGGAAGGACACUGACAAUGCUGUCCCUGAGAAGUUGAAGAAGCAGUGUCUCUCAGUCACCUGAUUGGAGCCGAGUAUCUCUCCAGAGAAUUAUGCUCCAACACCCAAAGCCACCACCAGGGUCACGAGGAUGAGACUGCACAAGAGUUCUUCUUCAAUUGAACAGACUCUUCUCACUGAUGGAAAACAGCAUUUGUCUAUAUGUGGUAUGUUCCAGGCGAUUACACCAUAUCUUUGUGUAAAACCAGUACAGACAGAAGAAAAGAAGAUGUGUGACCAGAGCCAAAAGACUGGCAAGUGAUCUUGUGAAGGAAUGACGACAUUAGCAUGGAGUAAAAGAGUCGCUGUGCUGUGAGGAAGAGGGGAAGAAAGGCAGUGCACAUGAGACUUCCUGCUUGCAUCUAGCCCAGGUCUUCAGAAAACCAGAGGGAAGGUGUAACAAUUCUGAUCUCCACAGAAAGAGACGCUGAUGGGGGAAAUAGAAUGGAUGGAUUCCUGGAGAAGAAAAGCAAUGAGAGCUCUCCCACCCUUGCAGCCAUCGGGAAAUGUGGUCAUCACCCAGGGCUUCUAAAGAAGCAAAUGUUUGAUUCUUGAUUCGAGGAACUCAUUUGCAGAUUGUUAAUUAAAUCCAUUUGGUGACUUUACUUUACAUCAGAAGGCAUCUAUGAUGAUCUUAUUAUUAUUAUUACAAAGGCUACAGUGAAGAAGUAGAGAGACUAAGUAUGCAGAUUGGGUGGACUAAAGAUGGAAGAAUCUGAUGAAAGAUAGCAAGCUAUUGUUCUUCAGCUACAGCAAAAUGCAACUGUAAAAUGACUUGGUUAAUAAUGAAAAUUACAGGGCAAUUUAAAACUAGGGAACACAAAAUUCUCAAGCAUUUGAAGGAUUCACCCCGCACUGCUUUCAGAUGACAAAUUAUGCUCCAUCUUCCCUUUUAGGCAUCCUGUCGAGCUCUUGGGAAUGAAAGGCAAACUGUCGUUCUUCCUGCUUCAACUUGAAGUCAAACACAGCAGAAUUCUAAGAUAUCCAAACUGUUAAUUUGAAUUCCAAGAUGUCCUCAGCCAUAACCCAACAGGCACAUGUGGCCUUGUCAUCAUAGGGGCUUUGAUUACUUGUAAUUGUUGUGAUGACUCUUCCUUUUUGGGGAGUGCUGUCUUUGUUCUUAGUCUUCUUGGUGAGGCUCUCACCAAGUCCUUUCAGGAACCACAGCUGUGCAAUAUGACUAAUUUAUCUCUCACCUUACUUUACACCCUUUGCUUUGAGCAUUUAUGUUAUAUCCACACCUAUUAGCAAACUGCAUAUCUUCCCAUGCCUACCCUGGUGUUAUACGCAUAUUUUUUUGUCACCCACUGUUAACUUGGUUUCACAAUUGACUUUGCAUCUGCCUAGCUCUUUAGUUUUCUUUUCUGGGACUCUUUGCCCUGUAUCACUUGUUGGUUGGCCUAGGGAAACUGUUGCUCUGCCAAAAGCCAUGCAAAAAAAAUGACAUUUCUCUUUGAAAUCACUUCUAGACAUACAAGACUAUAGAGGAAUGAUACAGAUAUGAAAAAUAGAGUUCGUUUCUGGAAAGUUAUCUUCUUAGUUGAAGGAGGCAGCAGCUUGUGCGGUGGCCAUUUCAAGCUGUUAAUUUUGUAUCCUUCUCAUUUGUUGUAAGAAAUAAAAACAGAUUUGUCAAACACAAA